GUCAAUGCAAGUAAUAUGAAGAAAUAGACCUUAGUAUAGAAAGAACAUUAGAGUGUGAGUGGCAUGAGUUAGUUAGUUAAAAAGUUAGUUAAAUAGUUAAAAAUACGCAAAAAUUAACACAGAUCUCAAUAACCAAUGCGUGAGUUGAGCUUAAAUAGUUGAAAAUAAGAAAAAAUUAACACAGAUCUCAAUAACCAAUGCGUGAGUUGAGCUUAAAUAGUUGAAAAUAAGAAAAAAUUAACACAGAUCUCAAUAACCAAUGCGAGAGUUGAGGUUAAGGAAGAACGAAU
Eriocheir sinensis (Chinese mitten crab) is the source of this 290-nucleotide long non-coding RNA. RefSeq lists it as uncharacterized. The transcript has 2 exons. The record is from RefSeq and is a predicted model, not a curated record. NCBI's taxonomy places the organism in Eukaryota, Metazoa, Arthropoda, Malacostraca, Decapoda, Varunidae.